RNAcentral lists this ribosomal RNA (297 nucleotides) under Salmonella enterica subsp. enterica serovar Agona. RNAcentral's name for it is "partial 16S ribosomal RNA". It matches the Rfam family "Bacterial small subunit ribosomal RNA", at positions 913 to 1210 of the family's 1533-position model. The record is from RNAcentral. Lineage: Bacteria; Pseudomonadati; Pseudomonadota; Gammaproteobacteria; Enterobacterales; Enterobacteriaceae.
ACGGGGGCCCGCACAAGCGGUGGAGCAUGUGGUUUAAUUCGAUGCAACGCGAAGAACCUUACCUGGUCUUGACAUCCACGGAAGUUUUCAGAGAUGAGAAUGUGCCUUCGGGAACCGUGAGACAGGUGCUGCAUGGCUGUCGUCAGCUCGUGUUGUGAAAUGUUGGGUUAAGUCCCGCAACGAGCGCAACCCUUAUCCUUUGUUGCCAGCGGUUAGGCCGGGAACUCAAAGGAGACUGCCAGUGAUAAACUGGAGGAAGGUGGGGAUGACGUCAAGUCAUCAUGGCCCUUACGACCA